AAGGAUCUCUAGGUUGGAGAAACUCUCUGGGGAUCAUCUCAAAUCACUAAACUUUCCAAGGUGGAGAAGCUGGGUCUCUACAACCCAUUCACUCUCUCCGGCAACAUCAUGGUUAACAACGUGGAGGCUCCCUCUCACAGCGAGUGGUUCCUGGACUCCCUCUUUGAUGCCAUUGGCGCAACUGAGUACCUCCCAUAUGCAUACCACGCCAUGCUCGCUCCACUUCGCGCCAUCUACAACAUCGUCGGCAAGGAAAUCUAUGGAAAGGGUUAUGCUGCCGUCAAUUCUUGUGUCAACGUUGCUGAAUUUGGAAUGAAGCACGGAGGAAGCAUCGCUCUUGCUGGUGGAAUCGCUGGAGUUGCAACAGCAAUGCUGGCCACGAAGGCUUGAUGAAAAACCAGAAGUAGAAUAAAAUGUAAAUUUCAUUAACAUAUUUUAUGCUUUUGAUUA
This is a long non-coding RNA of Selaginella moellendorffii, 450 nucleotides long. RefSeq lists it as uncharacterized. Lineage: Eukaryota; Viridiplantae; Streptophyta; Lycopodiopsida; Selaginellales; Selaginellaceae. The record is from RefSeq and is a predicted model, not a curated record. The transcript has 2 exons.